GGGCCGGUGGCUCAGCAUGGUUAGAGCGUUCGGCUGAUAACCGAAAGGUCGAGAGUUCAAAUCUCUCCCGGCCCA
Molecule: transfer RNA, 75 nt
Filed under: Candidatus Bathyarchaeota archaeon
Lineage: Archaea; Thermoproteati; Candidatus Bathyarchaeota
Also listed under: 2 other names
Description: tRNA-Ile
Rfam family: tRNA
About the family: Transfer RNA (tRNA) molecules are approximately 80 nucleotides in length.
Source: RNAcentral